AGCGAACGCUGGCGGCAGGCCUAACACAUGCAAGUCGAACGAACCUUUCGGGGUUAGUGGCGGACGGGUGAGUAACACGUGGGAACGUGCCUUUAGGUUCGGAAUAACUCAGGGAAACUUGUGCUAAUACCGAAUGUGCCCUUCGGGGGAAAGAUUAAUCGCCUUUAGAGCGGCCCGCGUCUGAUUAGCUAGUUGGUUGAGGUAAUGGCUCACCAAGGCGACGAUCAGUAGCUGGUCUGAGAGGAUGAUCAGCCACAUUGGGACUGAGACACGGCCCAAACUCCUACGGGAGGCAGCAGUGGGGAAUCUUGCGCAAUGGGCGAAAGCCUGACGCAGCCCUGCCGCGUGAAUGAUGAAGGUCUUAGGAUUGUAAAAUUCUUUCACCGGGGACGAUAAUGACGGUACCCGGAGAAGAAGCCCCGGCUAACUUCGUG
This 434-nucleotide ribosomal RNA is filed under the name uncultured bacterium. Its description in RNAcentral is "partial 16S ribosomal RNA". It matches the Rfam family "Bacterial small subunit ribosomal RNA", at positions 29 to 507 of the family's 1533-position model. The record is from RNAcentral.